GAUGAACGCUGGCGGCGUGCUUAACACAUGCAAGUCGAACGAAGCACUUUGAUCGAUUUCUUCGGAUUGAAAUUUUAGUGACUGAGUGGCGGACGGGUGAGUAACGCGUGGGUAACCUGCCUCACACAGGGGGAGUAACAGUUGGAAACGGCUGCUAAUACCGCAUAAGCGCACAGUACCGCAUGGUACAGUGUGAAAAACUACCGGUGGUAUAAGAUGGACCCGCGUCUGAUUAGCUGGUUGGUGAGGUAACGGCCCACCAAGGCGACGAUCAGUAGCCGACCUGAGAGGGUGACCGGCCACAUUGGGACUGAGACACGGCCCAAACUCCUACGGGAGGCAGCAGUGGGGAAUAUUGCACAAUGGGGGAAACCCUGAUGCAGCGACGCCGCGUCGAGUGAUGAAGUAUUUCGGUAUGUAAAGCUCUAUCAGCA
RNAcentral lists this ribosomal RNA (434 nucleotides) under uncultured bacterium. RNAcentral's name for it is "bacterial SSU rRNA". It matches the Rfam family "Bacterial small subunit ribosomal RNA", at positions 28 to 441 of the family's 1533-position model. The record is from RNAcentral.